AGGGGCAUAGCUCAGUUGGUAGAGCACUGGUCUCCAAAACCAGGUGUCGUAGGUUCAAGUCCUGCUGCCCCUG
Molecule: transfer RNA, 73 nt
Filed under: Candidatus Saccharibacteria bacterium RAAC3_TM7_1
Lineage: Bacteria; Candidatus Saccharimonadota
Rfam family: tRNA
About the family: Transfer RNA (tRNA) molecules are approximately 80 nucleotides in length. Their secondary structure includes four short double-helical elements and three loops (D, anti-codon, and T loops). Further hydrogen bonds mediate the characteristic L-shaped molecular structure. tRNAs have two regions of fundamental functional importance: the anti-codon, which is responsible for specific mRNA codon recognition, and the 3' end, to which the tRNAs corresponding amino acid is attached (by aminoacyl-tRNA synthetases). tRNAs cope with the degeneracy of the genetic code in two manners: having more than one tRNA (with a specific anti-codon) for a particular amino acid; and 'wobble' base-pairing, i.e. permitting non-standard base-pairing at the 3rd anti-codon position.
Source: Rfam by way of RNAcentral